CUGAGGCCCCGGGCGAGGCCCGGCCGCGGAGCCCCCGGCACGGCCCCUCCCGCCACUCCUCGGGCGGGCUCCGUGCUGCAGGCCAGCCCCAGGCUAGGGCCGCCGCUUCCCCACCAGCCCGGCCUUCUCCGGGGUCUCCAGCCUGGCCGGGGCCCAGCUCGGCCUUGGCCUGGUCCCAAAUUAUUUAGGGAGAAGAACAAACGCCUGGGAGGGGCGAGAGUGUCCCUGCAAGGAUAGUAGAGAGGCUGCUGCCACCAUGGAGGGGGCCCUAUACUGGAGUUCGGUGGUGUGAGCACACAACCAGCCCGGCUCUGGGAUUUUAUCCUUCCUAAUCCCAUGUAAUUGUAAUGCCUGGGAAAAGAAGGAACAACCUCUGCAGUGUUAGAUUCGGCAGAGAGGAAAGACACCCUCCCUGUGCGGCUGUUGCUGAGGAGGAUUCCCCUUCUGACAGCCUGAGGUGACAAAUCAAGGUCAAGGGAUAGAUGCUCCCCUUCAGCACAGCAUGGCCAAGAACACAGGAAAACCUUAGGGUCAGCAGCAAAGGAUGUGCUUAAAAGACCACAUGGUUUUCUCUCAAGCACAGUAAAACUCCUCACCAGGAAAGAGCUGCUCAGCCUUUUUCCAUGAGCCAGUCCAAACCCAUCACACCUAUUCACUCUCCAGGAUCAGCUUGGCAUCACAGUGAGUUCCAGUUCCAUGGCAGAGGAUAGCACGGCACCGACACUGCUCCUCCCUGGGGCACAAAGCCUCCCCAGCCCCCAGGCCAGCCUGGGACACAGCACUGGGACACAAAUCUAUCUUUGGGUCACCUCUAAAGCCCUGGGAGCGUAAGACAGGCAGGUGACAGAUGGCUGGAGGCAGGGGAUCAUGGGGACUCGGCCACCCCACAGCAGCCACCGCUCCGUCUGCCAGCCAGGGCUUAGAAACCUCUGGAAAAGCUAACACGGGGAAGAGGGAGCAACACUCAGAGAGUGACAGGGUAAGGGGCAGAGCAGGGGGAGGGAAAUGGCUGUUUGUGACUCAGAGCAGAUUACUCUGCGGGAGUGCACUCCCCAGAGAGCUGCUGGGGUGAGUGGAGCUUGGAGAGGCCUGGGAAUCCAUCUGUGUGCGGGAGGUGGCUGAAGUCACCUCCCCGCAGACCAGAGGAGGUCACUAAGCUCCGAGUGAGCAACUGUCACUCCACACCCCUGAAAUCCAUAAGCAGCCUGGAAAUCUAAAGCCUGUCAUUAGGAAUGAUAAAAACAGUAAUUAGAGCCUGGCUGUCAUGAGUUCACACCUGGAACAUCAAUAUGAGGUGUUUACCCAGCAGCAGGAGAGCACUUCCCCCGGAAUCCAUCCUCUGCGGAAGCACCAGGCACAAAGCUCCACGGACCACUCUUCACACAGGUGUAAGUAAAUCCUGCAGGGAGCCUUUAACCACCUCAACAGCAGCUCCCAGCUUUGAAGGAUCCAAAAAUGCUGCUGCUGUGGGGGCACAGGAGCUACAUCAGCUCCUGGGCCGUGGGCUGUGCCUGUCCUGAUCCCAGUCCUGGUGUUUCACUGGGACUCAGCUGGGUGCACAGUGGGCUGCACCAAGGAGUUAAACCUUCAAAACAAAGAUUUGGAGGCAAACAAGCUGUGCCAAGGAGUUAGAUCUUCAAAACAAUGCAGAUUUGAAUAUGAGAGCUGUUCCAUGAAUUUAGCCUUAAUUACAUCCUGUAGAGCUAUAACCAGCCACCACACUGUAAAGCAGGUGAAAACCCACACUUUUAUUUCUUUAUGGUAUCACAGGUGGAACAGCUUAAGUUGGAGUGUCCUUAACAACAACAGCAACAGCAAAGAAAUACAAGGAUGGCUUGAAAGUAGCUUUAUUUAGUAAUAGUGAGUCUGUACAGAGCUAGGGAGAUUCCUGCUGCAGUACAGCAGCUGUACUCCUCACUGUCUUCCCAAAUGGCUGCUUGGUUUGCCAAACCCAUUUCUCUUCAAAAUGUUAAUAGAUGACAUUAAUUAAAACAUGAGCCAAGCCUAAAGUAAAGGUUUUUUUCUAAUCAAAGUACUUCUAAAUUAUUACUCUCUUGGCCUCUGCGAUGUUGGCACCUGACUGGUCACUCAGGGUUUACCCUGUACCAGCCAUAAAUUAUCUCAUCUAUUAAAAAUAGAUUCCCAUCCCUCCAUCCUGCGAGGGGCUGAAUCAGCAGGGAGCUGCACCCACAGCUGCACAGCCCAGGAAAUUGUGUCUUUAGGGUUGGCAUGAUGGUUCCUUCCCGCACAGGACAGCUGCUGAAGGAUUGAGGUGAGUUUGGUCACCCACAGGUUGCUGACACACAUGCCAUCUCCAGAGUGAGCCAGGAAGCAGUGCCAGAGCAGGGAGUGGAGGGUCAGGAGCUCUGUCCCCGAAGUCAGUGUCCUUUCAGCUCGCUGGGACAGACAGAAAUAGGCCUGAAAGCACAUUCCCCAAGCGGCCUAAUUUCCCUGCCCUCACACAAUGUUCUCUUUCCUCCUCAGCACCAGGGUAUUUGUUUUAUUUUAGGAUUUAGGAGCUUACAACCUUUAUCGAAGGAUAAAGGUGCUCAACAAUUGACUGUAAUUUUUUUUGGUUUUGGGCUUAAGUAUUGCAAUUAAAGAGCAAAAGCCAGCCCAGGGUAACAAAGCAAGGCAGGUUAAACAUCCCCAUCACACAAGUCUCACCCAGAAAACAGCAGAACAGCCCCCAAGAAAAUAAUCCUCUCAUUCCUGCUGUCAGCUUCCCUUCUUUAAGUACUUGAAAGUUCCUCCCUGAACCAGGCUGUUGUGUUCAAAUAGAAAAAGGUCAGGGUGACACAGAAAGGGUUUAACUUCCUCCCCAGCACUGAAUCUCUGACCUGGAUGACAUUCAAGGUUGUCAAGGAAGCAGUUACAAACAACUAUAUUUAGGAAAUGAAAACACCUAUUUCCUCUCUCCUCUGCUCAGAGGCCAACACUCACCUGCAGCGUUUGCAGGGAGCUGUGACAAGAAGCUUAAUGGAAAGGAAGCAAAAAAAAAACCCAACCCCCUUCUUUUCACUGGUUUAGUAGGUCUUACAGAGGAAGAAGAUGGGUAGAGAUAAAAA
Parus major (Great Tit) is the source of this 3068-nucleotide long non-coding RNA. RefSeq lists it as uncharacterized. The record is from RefSeq and is a predicted model, not a curated record. Lineage: Eukaryota; Metazoa; Chordata; Aves; Passeriformes; Paridae. The transcript has 2 exons.